ACCUGCCGACCAAGUUGUUGUGUGCCCUCGUGCGGACCUCCCCAAGGGGCAGCGUGCGCACGGGCCCUUGUUCCUGGCCUCCGCCACUGGCCGGCGCUGCUCUCGCUCAGGCGGGAACCGUGCUGCCGGCGAAGACGGGGGAAAAGGUCUUGUGGGGCGGGACUUKCGCYUCGUCCGAGACGAGGGGUGUGCCGCACGGCUUCGCAGCCGUGUGACGCGUCCGCCCGCYGGCCRAAACCCCCACAACCACAACAUACCUUAAGAUGCUGAAGACCGGCGGCCCUGGCUCCGAGCGAGGGUGCGCCCACAAACGAGAAACAACUCUCAACAACGGAUAUCUUGGCUCCCGCAACGAUGAAGAACGCAGCGAAAUGCGAUACUUAAUGUGAAUUGCAGAAUUCCGUGAAUCAUCGAGUUUUUGAACGCAUAUUGCGCCCGAGGCCUCGGCCGAGGGCAUGCCUGCCUCAGCGUCGGUUGACUCCAUCGUCUCGCUUCCCUCGCGGAAGGUUGACGGAUCUGGUCGUCCCGCUGGAGACAGCGGGUCGGCUGCAGCGCAGAGUGAUACGGACGCUCGUCGACAGACGCGGCCAGAUUGGUAGGUAGUCGCUCACGAUUGCAUGCCUUCUGGAAGCCAGACGAGCGAAUCGAUCCAGCAGGGCGGGGGACUGGCCACGGCUGGUC
RNAcentral lists this unclassified non-coding RNA (681 nucleotides) under Chloroidium laureanum. Its description in RNAcentral is "sequence contains ITS1, 5.8S rRNA gene and ITS2". The stretch from base 320 to 473 matches the Rfam family "5.8S ribosomal RNA". Lineage: Eukaryota; Viridiplantae; Chlorophyta; Trebouxiophyceae; Watanabeales; Watanabeaceae. The record is from RNAcentral.